UAAAUCUUCUUCUCAAUAGUAUCCCUGGUGAUUGCUCCUUAUAUUAACAUUAGCUGGGAAAUUAAACAUGUUACUGCAUUAGAGUAUGCUUGUGUGUGUGCACACAUGUACUUGUGUGUGUUCAUGAGUUUGUGUGCAUAUGGUGAGCAAGCCACCACUGAGAACACAGUCUUCUAAUGAACAGGAGCAAGAGAGUCUGGAUGAAAUACUGAAGGACCUGCUGAAGCAGAAGGAGCUGGUCACCCAGCAAAGGGACUUGGCAGAAAAACUACAACAUCACUUCAGUGUCCCUGAGAUGAGGUAGGAGCCCAGGCUUGGAGGAGUGGUUAGAACCAUGUAGAUCACCUGUAUCUGGAUCUCUGUCCUUUUGGGAUUCCUACCAUCUGAAUAGCUCCCAGCCAGAGCCAGGGAAAGAACAUCUCAGGAUAUUGUACUGGUCUGGUCAUCAAGAACUUCUCCAGGAAACACUAUGUUUGAUCCUUUGUGUUUCUGGGGAGUGUGUAUCCCUUAUUCCUUUCUGGGCUCUCUGGUAUCUUCUCAGUACCUUGUCCCCUGUGUCUCCCCACAAAUCUCCUUAUGGCAGUCCUCAAGCUAGCAGGAGGAGGGUUAGUGGUGGAGGACAGUGUGUGCUCCUGCCACUUUAUUUUCCUUCCAGAACAUCACCUUUAGAGAGAAGUUCCUACCUUUGCACAGAUCUGCAUGCAGCACACUCCUGCAGAUUACAGGUUCUCUGCAGUGUGCAUCUGUUUCCUGUGAAAAAAUUUUACUGUUAUAAGAAGAUUUAGGGGUUGAGGAGUUGAACCUAGGCAGGUUUGUAUACUGAAGGAAUAAUCAGAUCCUUCACUGCUUUUCUUUUGUAGGAUCCCCUAGAGGGUCUACAUUCAGUUUCCCAUGUUGCUCACAUUCACCUGGUAUCUAAUCAAGGACAUGCCUAUCUGACCUGAACUGUAACUCAGACAUUGGUACACUGUUAUUUUUCCAAAUAAUGUAUCUAGACAACUGGAGAAAUGUAUGGACUUUCUUGCCCAGCACAGUGUAGUGCUCAAUUCAUCUUCUAGUAGAUUUUAAAAGCUGAGAAUAAAAUGCAGGCUCAGUUGUACUCUGACCCUUCUCCCUUGGGGAAUGCCGGGAAUGACCUCAGCGGAAAGGUCAUGCUCGACUGUCCAGCUGACUAGAGCUGGUUCAGGCUCAACAGCUGACAUGGCAGGUCCCCACCAGGCCUGUUCCCUAACUGCCUUCCUCCUCUGGGUCAGAAAAUCUCCAGUCUGAGUUUGAACAGGAUGAGAGCCUCCUGCAGACCGAGCUGCUGCAGCAGGAGCAAUAAGUGUCCCAGACAAAUCUUGAGAGAACUGAGGAGGCCAAAGAAGCCAAAGAUGCCUUGAACCCAUGAAGCUCUCCACCUCAGAUCAAGGUCUGCUCAGAAGACAUCCCAUAUAGUUGUGAUCUCACCAGUGAGGCAAAUACCAUCUGACCUCCAGGUGAUCCAGCCCCCGUCAAUAGAUCUGUUGACUCAGGAUUCCUGAAGAAAAGAAAGCAUCACAAAAAACUCAAGACAGAAAAACCUGAGACAAGAAUUAUUGGGAACCCUGACAUUCAACAGCAAGUGGUCCCUGUGAGGGCAACAACAACAUGGAGGGUAGAGAUGUUGGUGAGCAAGACAUUUUCUGACAGUUUAAUGUCGAUGGUUUUGGCAAACUGACUGAGUCCUUAGCCCUCCCUAGGUGGAGGGAAAUCUGUCAUGGAAGACUGUUGAUGUCAAGCUGUUCCUGACAGACUACACCAAAAAAACAUCAUUUUUCAUUCUCCAGGCCAGUGCUGAAGCUGACUCCAUGUCAUGCACCAGUGUUGCUGAGGAUAAUGCACCACAGAGAUCUCCACAGUCCAUCAUUCCCCGGGUUAGACAUUUUUUCCUACAUAUUUAAAAUCAGUGGGUAUUUCUCCAUUUCUCAGCUUGAACUGAAGUGACUGGUCCUGAGAAAGGAUUUAUAGAAGACAUCUGAGUCAUCUUUGAUGUUUUUUGGUACUCAGAUGCUGCCCACAUAUUUGUGGAGUCUCUAGUAAGCACACAAGAGUCUGUAUGCUGAAAGAAUCAAAUAGUGACCAAGACAUUACAGGAUCAGCAGUGUGUGAUAAUUUAUCAAAAGCUUCCCAGAGGGGCACAAAGAAUGCUCUAGAAAAUGUCUCAUCCUUAGACUCGGUGAAGGCUUGGCCUACAAAGCCUGAAGGAGGCAUGGCUAUACUAGUUUUGAAAAGGCGUUUUACAAUCGCUGACUGCCUUCCUACCAUGUUUCCAAGCCCAGCCACAGGCUGUAGGUCUGUGCUGCUAACUGUGCAGCAGAGAAUGCUGCUGGCCUUAAUUGUUUUUUGUUUGGUUUUUGGUUGCUUUGGGUUUUUGUUUUGUUUUGUUUUCUUUGUUAUAGAUUGAGAUUUUGCUAUUUAUUUGUUCUUUCUUUUGUUCUUGUUGUUAUUUGGGUAUUUUGCUAAGGCUGUUUACUGUUUAUAUUGACUGCUCCCUUUAAGCCCCUAUUGAGUAAUAUUACUGAAUUUUAUUAAUAAUAAAGUGAUUUUGAACUUUU
This is a long non-coding RNA of Peromyscus eremicus (cactus mouse), 2576 nucleotides long. RefSeq lists it as uncharacterized. NCBI's taxonomy places the organism in Eukaryota, Metazoa, Chordata, Mammalia, Rodentia, Cricetidae. The transcript is spliced from 2 exons. The record is from RefSeq and is a predicted model, not a curated record.